UACGUAGGGCGCAAGCGUUGUCCGGAAUUAUUGGGCGUAAAGAGCUCGUAGGCGGUUUGUCGCGUCUGGUGUGAAAUCUCAAGGCUCAACCUUGAGCUUGCAUUGGGUACGGGCAGACUAGAGUGCGGUAGGGGUGACUGGAAUUCCUGGUGUAGCGGUGGAAUGCGCAGAUAUCAGGAGGAACACCGAUGGCGAAGGCAGUUCACUGGGCCGCAACUGACGCUGAGGAGCGAAAUCAUGGGUAGCGAACAGG
Molecule: ribosomal RNA, 253 nt
Filed under: uncultured bacterium
Lineage: Bacteria
Description: partial 16S ribosomal RNA
Rfam family: Bacterial small subunit ribosomal RNA
Source: RNAcentral